Molecule: ribosomal RNA, 252 nt
Filed under: uncultured bacterium
Lineage: Bacteria
Description: partial 16S ribosomal RNA
Rfam family: Bacterial small subunit ribosomal RNA
Source: RNAcentral
UACGUAGGGGGCGAGCGUUAUCCGGAUUCAUUGGGCGUAAAGCGCGCGUAGGCGGCCGCCUAAGCGGAACCUCUAACCCCGGGGCUCAACCUCGGGCCGGGUUCCGGACUGGGCGGCUCGAGUGCGGUAGAGGAGAGCGGAAUUCCCGGUGUAGCGGUGGAAUGCGCAGAUAUCGGGAAGAACACCGAUGGCGAAGGCAGCUCUCUGGGCCGUCGCUGACGCUGAGGCGCGAAAGCUGGGGGAGCGAACAGG